Molecule: ribosomal RNA, 586 nt
Filed under: uncultured bacterium
Lineage: Bacteria
Description: bacterial SSU rRNA
Rfam family: Bacterial small subunit ribosomal RNA
Source: RNAcentral
CCUACGGGAGGCAGCAGUCGGGAAUUUUGGGCAAUGGGCGAAAGCCUGACCCAGCAACGCCGCGUGAAGGAUGAAAUCCCUCGGGAUGUAAACUUCGCAAGAACGGGAAGAAUAAGCCGGUGUUAACACCACCGGCGAUGACGGUACUGUUUGUAAGCUCCGGCUAACUCCGUGCCAGCAGCCGCGGUAAUACGGGGGGAGCAAGCGUUGUUCGGAUUUACUGGGCGUAAAGGGCGCGUAGGCGGCCACCGCAAGUCGACUGUGAAAUCUCCGGGCUUAACCCGGAAAGGUCAGCCGAUACUGCGGGGCUAGAGUGCAGAAGGGGCAACUGGAAUUCUCGGUGUAGCGGUGAAAUGCGUAGAUAUCGAGAGGAACACCUGCGGCGAAGGCGGGUUGCUGGGCUGACACUGACGCUGAGGCGCGAAAGCUAGGGGAGCGAACGGGAUUAGAUACCCCGGUAGUCCUAGCCUUAAACGAUGAAUGCUUGGUGUCUGGGGUUUUAUAGUCCCCGGGUGCCAUCGCUAACGCUUUAAGCAUUCCGCCUGGGGAGUACGGUCGCAAGACUGAAACUCAAAGGAAUUGACGG